UACGGGGGGGGCAAGCGUUGUUCGGAAUUACUGGGCGUAAAGGGUCUGUAGGUGGCCAACUAAGUCAGACGUGAAAUCCCUCAGCUUAACUGGGGAACUGCGUCUGAGACUGGAUGGCUCGAGUGCAGGAGAGGAAUGCGGAAUUCCAGGUGUAGCGGUGAAAUGCGUAGAUAUCUGGAGGAACACCGGUGGCGAAGGCGGCAUCCUGGACCGAGAUUGACGCUGAGGCGCGAAAGCCAGGGGAGCAAACGGG
This 253-nucleotide ribosomal RNA is filed under the name uncultured bacterium. RNAcentral's name for it is "partial 16S ribosomal RNA". It matches the Rfam family "Bacterial small subunit ribosomal RNA", at positions 524 to 776 of the family's 1533-position model. The record is from RNAcentral.